This is a long non-coding RNA of Papaver somniferum (opium poppy), 654 nucleotides long. RefSeq lists it as uncharacterized. NCBI's taxonomy places the organism in Eukaryota, Viridiplantae, Streptophyta, Magnoliopsida, Ranunculales, Papaveraceae. The transcript is spliced from 4 exons. The record is from RefSeq and is a predicted model, not a curated record.
UUUUUAUUUGAGAGAACAGAACCACUCUCACUCCUCUUCUUCCUCCUCGACUGCUACUGCUCUCUCUUCUACACACAGAUUCACCACCGCUCCAUCACCAGAUCCAUCUCAACUAUUUUCUUCUUCUUCUUUGAAGCACCGAACGACCAUGCAAGAUUCAUUCUUUUGGUUAGAAGGAAUCAACAAUUGUAGCAGCGGAACCAGAUGUGUUGUUCAAAUCAGAUUUUAAUGGUUGAAAUCACUCAUAAGUGUGAAAUAACAAGAAAGUUUCUAAUCAAGGGUUUUGAGACUUCAAUCUGGACACAAGUACUUAUUGGGAAGACUAUCAUCCGAGGUUGGAUAGAUUCACGUUGAUACCAUCAAGUCUGGUUAUUGUAAACCACCACAAGAAUGUGGCUAGCUUUGUAUGGAAGUCUGCAACAGUUGCUACCACCACUUCAGCAAAGCCCUGAUUGUUGGAAACCUGCUCCUGCACUUUUGUUUUGACUGUAAAUCUUGCAAGGCAGGACAUUUUGCGAACUUAAAGAAUGACUAGAUGAAAGUUGUUGUCCUGAAUAUCAUUUGAUCAAGCACUUCUGUUGUAUUUGAUAUUUUAAAAAUUGACAUGUGUAUUUGUAACUCAUCUUUAGUAAAAUAAGAAAGAAAAUUCUGUGA